AGUGAACGCUGGCGGUAGGCCUAACACAUGCAAGUCGAACGGCAGCACAGUAAGAGCUUGCUCUUACGGGUGGCGAGUGGCGGACGGGUGAGGAAUACAUCGGAAUCUACUUUUUCGUGGGGGAUAACGUAGGGAAACUUACGCUAAUACCGCAUACGACCUACGGGUGAAAGCAGGGGAUCUUCGGACCUUGCGCGAUUGAAUGAGCCGAUGUCGGAUUAGCUAGUUGGCGGGGUAAAGGCCCACCAAGGCGACGAUCCGUAGCUGGUCUGAGAGGAUGAUCAGCCACACUGGAACUGAGACACGGUCCAGACUCCUACGGGAGGCAGCAGUGGGGAAUAUUGGACAAUGGGCGCAAGCCUGAUCCAGCCAUACCGCGUGGGUGAAGAGGGCCUUCGGGUUGUAAAGCCCUUUUGCUGGGAAAGAAAAGCAGCAGGUUAAUACCCCGCUGUUCUGACGGUACCCAAAGAAUAAGCACCGGCUAACUUCGUG
Molecule: ribosomal RNA, 492 nt
Filed under: uncultured bacterium
Lineage: Bacteria
Description: partial 16S ribosomal RNA
Rfam family: Bacterial small subunit ribosomal RNA
Source: RNAcentral